This 71-nucleotide transfer RNA is filed under the name Onthophagus rorarius. Its description in RNAcentral is "tRNA-Trp". The record is from RNAcentral. Lineage: Eukaryota; Metazoa; Arthropoda; Insecta; Coleoptera; Scarabaeidae.
AAGGAUUUAAGUUAUACUCAUAAACUAGAAACCUUCAAAGUUUCAAAAAAAGAUAGGGUCUUUAAGCCUUA